This is a long non-coding RNA of Bos taurus (domestic cattle), 557 nucleotides long. Lineage: Eukaryota; Metazoa; Chordata; Mammalia; Artiodactyla; Bovidae. The record is from Ensembl.
AAUCUCUUCUCACUCUUAGAUAAGGAGGAAGAAGCUAUUUGGCAGUCAAAGAUGGACAUUUCUCCUAAAGAGGAUAUUGGAAAAGGAAGAACUCCUCAGAAGGUGGAGCUGUGUUCCCUCCCUGCAAUUUACCUGGGGCCAAACUAUGGUGGAGGUAAUGAACAUAAUGGUGACCUCCUUCAAAAGAUCCCAUGCAUGUACUGCUACACUCAGUGCCCCCAACUCUGCAGCAGGCCACCACCAACCCGCGCCUCUGCUGGAGACUCCUGGACACUCACGGGCAAAUCUGCCAGCUCAUGAAGCACCCACUUAUUGAGCUUUUUCACCUUUCCAACUUACUUCCAAUGCCAAGUAACUAUAGAAUGAUCAACGUUGAGUUCUUUGGUAACUUCUUGUGUAGUUGGAAGAAGAUCAGCUCAGUGAUGGCUCUCAGUUGGUCAUUGUCAACUUCUGACGGCUGGACACUACACUCCUCAACUUCAAGGCUCUCAUCUCCUUUGCAAAACUUCUUGAACCACCACUACACUGUAUGUUCAUUAGCAAUUCCUAGACCAAAU